This is a long non-coding RNA of Stylophora pistillata, 1099 nucleotides long. RefSeq lists it as uncharacterized. Lineage: Eukaryota; Metazoa; Cnidaria; Anthozoa; Scleractinia; Pocilloporidae. The record is from RefSeq and is a predicted model, not a curated record.
UUUGAAUAGGGUUCGAAACUUUGGUGGGAGAGAGUGCCACAAACGAUCGUCAUAAUUGUGCUGUUGCUCCGAUGCUUACUGUUUGGCGGACGCGUGGCAAUAACACCUAAGGAUUAUGUGGCGUUUAGAGCGCUUAUGUGUGCCAUAUGAUUCAAUUGUUCAGUAUUUUCUACGUAAACGCAGUUGAUGAGCUUUCGUUUUCUCGUAUCAUGACACUCGCUAUGUGAUGUCACUUCUAAAAGUGAGAAAAACAAAAGCAAUGAAAAAACUGACCCAUGACAUAUCUGUUUCGCUCGGUUAAUUCUGUUGCAUCAUGAAUACUUGGAAAGUUUGAACUUCGCAGCGUGUUUAUUCUACCUCGCCAACUCUUUAGUCAAAAAAUAGCCCGUCGUUGUAAUUGUGUUGGUCUCGAAACAUGGUUAAUCUAAACUUGAAGCCGAUGUCAAAUGCAUCAUGCGAUGUUUAAAUGCGACAUCCUCUUGGUUACGAUAGACGCACUCGUAGCGUAGUCAAUUCCAGAGUUUCAAGCCAUCAGUGAAAUCAAACUUUAUGUUUAGAAAGUUUAUAUCGCAGAAAAGGUUAGGUUUCGAACCGGGUUACCUAGGAAUGGAUGUAUACGCAAGGAGAAAAUGACAACGGAUGCAUUUAACCAGAAAGAAAAUAGUGGAGGAAACGGGACAGAAGAACAAGAAUGAGCUUCGUUUUUGAGCAACAAGUUUCGCUUUUGAAAAAGCCAUCUGUACACAAGUAAGAAAAGGCCAAGGAUGGGAGACAUUUGAAAGAUUAAAUCUAUUUAUCUAUCAUCUAACACAACUUUUGAAUCUGUUAGAGAAGAAGGGAUCUUAUAACACGGCCAAGAGGCGUUUAUCUGAAACAAAGCAGCAUUUUGAAAGUUCGCAAGACAUGGGAAAGAACUGUGUGAGUGCCUCAGUCGCGCCAACUCACGCGAAACCUAAAAUAAUCGGAAAAGGAAAUGAGAUCGUUUCAGUUUCAAGGAAUAUUUCAUGUCAGCUCUUCAAAUAUAAUAUAGAGUAAGCGUUUGUUUAGAUUUUGACUGUUUGAUGAUUGGUUAUCUUGUAAAUAAAGACGUUCUACGUAA